Molecule: non-coding RNA, 100 nt
Organism: Trichuris suis (pig whipworm)
Lineage: Eukaryota; Metazoa; Nematoda; Enoplea; Trichinellida; Trichuridae
Source: Rfam
UUUUAUUCCAUGGACAUAUACUUAAAUUGGAACGAUACAGAGAUUAGCAUGGCCCCUGCGCAAGGAUGACAUGCAAAUCCGUGAAGCGUUCCAAAAUUUC